UAGCGAGUUGGUAGAGCGGUUUAUUACAUCGGUCUUGAAAAUCGAAGGAGGUGGAAACAUCUUCCGUGAGUUCGAAUCUCACACUCGCUGCCAU
This 94-nucleotide transfer RNA is filed under the name Hafnia phage vB_HpaM_SarahDanielle. Its description in RNAcentral is "tRNA-Ser". It matches the Rfam family "tRNA". From Rfam's summary of the family: Transfer RNA (tRNA) molecules are approximately 80 nucleotides in length. Their secondary structure includes four short double-helical elements and three loops (D, anti-codon, and T loops). Further hydrogen bonds mediate the characteristic L-shaped molecular structure. tRNAs have two regions of fundamental functional importance: the anti-codon, which is responsible for specific mRNA codon recognition, and the 3' end, to which the tRNAs corresponding amino acid is attached (by aminoacyl-tRNA synthetases). tRNAs cope with the degeneracy of the genetic code in two manners: having more than one tRNA (with a specific anti-codon) for a particular amino acid; and 'wobble' base-pairing, i.e. permitting non-standard base-pairing at the 3rd anti-codon position. Lineage: Duplodnaviria; Heunggongvirae; Uroviricota; Caudoviricetes; Andersonviridae. The record is from RNAcentral.